Hyla sarda is the source of this 3556-nucleotide long non-coding RNA. RefSeq lists it as uncharacterized. The transcript has 5 exons. The record is from RefSeq and is a predicted model, not a curated record. Lineage: Eukaryota; Metazoa; Chordata; Amphibia; Anura; Hylidae.
AUGCCCGUAGAGCAACUGACAGCCAUAGUCAGCUAACUCCAGUUGCAGCCAUUUAACUGACUAGAUGCAGUUGUCAACAUUGCACCCAUGUAGUUAGAAGUCACAUGCCAGUCACUUCAGACGUCUGAUCAUCCUUUCACACACUACAUGUAUCAGGGAGGAGUGCACUCCGAUCAAUGGGGCUUUCCAUGACAAAAGAGGUGAAAAGUUCCAUGGACAUGAACCAGCUGACCCUGAUCACUUAGGAAAGGAGGGAGUAAUUUAAGAACGUCUGUGUCUGUACUAGACAGAACUUCAAGUGGCAUGCUGGAUAGUGAAGGAUGCAGUUCGGAAGCCAUAGAGGAUACAAUGGAAGUGACGGAAGGAGGAAAAGGUGAGAAGUGAAAACUCCAUAGACGACGGGUUCUUCCAUUGGUGACUUCAAGAUAAAAACAUCAUUGACAACAUUGAAAAUCAAAUUAUUUUCUGGCGAGUGACAAAUCAUCCUGGCUUUGAGAAAUGUCGUCCAUUUCUUCUGCAACGUUCGUAGACCUCCUUGAUCACUCUGGGACAUAAAACAAAGAUGUGAAGAUAAAAAGGAUCAAUAAAGGCUUCAUGAAGCUAGUUAUACAAGGCACAUUCAGCUCUUUCCGGUCCAGAGAUGCUCUUGUCUUCAGCAUGCUUCCCCGACAAAGUCGGAGCAGAACUUCACUCAGCCUAUUACUGGUCGCAGCGGUGUCCUGAGCAGGCAGGUCCUGGCCCGCAGCCUCUGUCGCCCGCAGCCUCUGUCGCCCGCAGCCUCUGUCGCCCGCCCGGAUCGACCCAGUCACCAAUUCAGAAGGUCACAGCUGAAAUUUGUAGCUGUCUGGUUAGAUGUCUCUUAGGGCCUCAGGUUGCCGUGGAAACUUACAGGUUUAGACUAGACAUUUUCAGCUCCAGACUGUCACUAUAUUCAACAGGGCAUGGCUUAAAGAUCAGAUUCAUUUAACAAGAAUCUGUCAUUUUCUGUAAAUUAAAAAGGACCUGUGGCCUCUCCUGACCUAGCUUUCAGUUACUACAUGUAUUCCUAAUGAUAUACCGUAACAUCCUUUCUUAUACGCUUGGUACUGUGCCGUCACAGUUAGUCUUACUAGAAAGGUAUAACUAGCCAACUUGGUGCUGCUUUCAGCAUAGGAAAGGGGGCACUGACUUUAAAAACACCAAUUGGAUAGCAUCUGAAAAUGCCUCCUGGUAACACCCAGUUGUCAAUUUGUUUAUAAAAUUCUAAGAUCAAAUAGCACAACAAAAACAAGAGAAAAAUGCAAAACAGGUCAAGCGAGAUGUCCUUAAAACUUCUAUCGUUUGCCAUAAUGCUGUUCAAUGCAUGCUGCUGCAUCCAUUAAAGGGGUACUCUGGAUAAAAGGAAAUGUUUUUAAAUCAACUGGUGCCAGAAAGUUGUACAGAUUUGUAAAGGACUUAGAUUUAAAAAUGUUAAUCCUGCCAGUACUUUUCAGCUGCUGUAUGUUCCAGAGGAAGUUGUGUAGUUCUUUCCAGUCUGACCACAGUGCUCUUUGCUGCCACCUCUGUCCAUGUCAGGAACUGUCCAGAGCAGGAGAAAAUCCUCACAGCAAACCUCCCUUGCUCUGCACAGAUCGAAGUGGCAGCAAAGAGUGUCUGAAUGGAAAGACUACAAGACUUCCUCCAGAGCAUACAGCAGCUGGUACAGGAUGGCUUGAGGCAUUUUUUUUUUUUUUUUUUUUAAUUAGUAGUAAUUGACAGUACAAAUCUGCAUAACUUUCUGGCACAGUUGAUUCUAAAACAAUUAUUAUUAUUAUUAUUAUUUUUUAUCUACAGAGUAGCCCUUUGAGUUGGUGCCAGCACAAUCUCUGACCAGAAUUUUGCUAACAGCAUAGUUAAAUGUUGCUGCUCUGUCUCUACAACUCCUAUUUACUUCAACUUGAGUUACGGAAACAGAAAGCUCGGCUGUUUAUUGUAAUCCCAGACAUCUUUUGCCAAACAAGGUCCCAUUCUAGAGAUAAGUAGGACCUGCGCUCAUGGCAAAGUAUUAGGCAUAGGUUCAUGAAUGUAUAUGGGAGGUUUUUUUUAUUUCAUAAAACCUAACAUCGCCCAAUAAAUACUUAUAUGGGUGGAGUGGCAGAGGUUUAUCUGGGAUUUCAGUAUCAUCACCGCUACUGAAAUGCACAUGAACACCAAUAAAAGUUCUCUGUGUACAACGGAGAUUGUCCAUUGUGAAACAUUGCCAGCCUCCUCUAUAACCAAGUGAUAGGAGCAGGCAGCUGGGCUCAUUUUUAGGUUUGAGUGAUGACAGCUUAGCAUGAAUUUCCACCUGUCAACGCUGGUUAAGACAAAACACAGCCUGUCAGAAGCAUCUCAUAACACUUAAAGAAAAUAUGUGAAAGGGGGAGCGCUCAUAAAUUUCCAACAUAACUCACUCCCCAAAACUACAAUUAACAUUAAUGGGAUCACAGAUACAUUUGCAGCAGCACAACCUUGGAAUACUGUGUGUGCUCAAAUCUAUGGUUCUCUGCCUUGGAAAACUCCUGUUUGCCAAAAGGGCCCUUGACAACAAACUGAUCCCAAAGUGUCCACUGGGGAAAUUCUGUAGUCUUUAAUUUCUCUGCAGCGCCACCACAGGGGAGAUCACACAUUACAUAAUCCCCAUUUAAAGUGGACCUGUCAACAGCUAAACAGGGGUAAAAAUAAGCCCCUGGCUUAACAGGGCUUCUAAUCAGGAUUCUGGCCAUACCCUUUUUUUUUCCUCUUUCCUCUUCAUAAGCCUUUAUGUUAAUAUGUAAACAAGAGGGCCCAGGGUGGCGUCCACAGCAUGGCCAAAGACCUAGGUUAGUUAGCCCAUCUCCUGUUAUUCACUCCAUACCAAUUUCCAUUCACCCGACCCCUUUGAUUGACAGUGGGUACUGAGUUAUGCUGCAGUAAGCAUAAGACAGUGAUUGACAUGCUGUCACGGUGGCCCCCUUUAUCAUUAAGUUCUCCUAAUCUACUGUAUACUUCAGCAGGGUAUAGGCAGCAUAAUUUAACUAACAUAGUAUCUGUGUAAUAUAGGACAGGACAGGUUACCCAGAGAGAGAGUAGCUUUUUACACUCCCCAAUCCUGGCCCAGGUUCCGUCUUCAAUAAUUACCUAAGAGUAUAUGACAAUGUGUUUACUUAACAGAGAACCCCCAUUAAUGAGGAAGAUGAAUGCAGGGCGCCGCAGGAGCCAGAAGUAGCGCGGACCCCAGGAACAGGUAAAUAAAAAAACGGGGAUGGGGGAGGCAAUGGGGCAGCAGCGGUCUCUGGCCGGGGCGGUGAGGGGACGGUGCGGGGCAUUAUCGGCAAGGUAAUCUGCUGACAUCAUGACCACAGUGCUCUCUGCUGACAUCUCGGUCCAUUUUAGGAACUGUCCAGAGCAGCAUAUAUUUGCUAUGGGGCUUUUCUCCUACUCUAGACAGUUUGUCCCUCAAUAGCAGCAGGGGACAGUUUAUAAUCAUAUUACUUCACGCAUUUAAAAAAAAAAAAAAAUACGUUGUUGUGGGUGGCGCAGUACUAAAGAUUCUCUUUAUAUAAAAACAAAUGUAUAG